Molecule: ribosomal RNA, 206 nt
Filed under: uncultured bacterium
Lineage: Bacteria
Description: partial 16S ribosomal RNA
Rfam family: Bacterial small subunit ribosomal RNA
Source: RNAcentral
GGACUGUAGGCUGCAACCCGCCUACAUGAAGUCGGAAUUGCUAGUAAUCGCGGAUCAGCAUGCCGCGGUGAAUACGUUCCCGGGCCUUGUACACACCGCCCGUCACACCAUGGGAGUUGGUAACACCCGAAGUCAGUAGCCUAACCGCAAGGAGGGCGCUGCCGAAGGUGGGAUCGAUGACUGGGGUGAAGUCGUAACAAGGUACC